RNAcentral lists this transfer RNA (85 nucleotides) under Ephemeroptericola cinctiostellae. RNAcentral describes it as "tRNA-Leu". It matches the Rfam family "tRNA". From Rfam's summary of the family: Transfer RNA (tRNA) molecules are approximately 80 nucleotides in length. Their secondary structure includes four short double-helical elements and three loops (D, anti-codon, and T loops). The record is from RNAcentral. Lineage: Bacteria; Pseudomonadati; Pseudomonadota; Betaproteobacteria; Burkholderiales; Burkholderiaceae.
GCCGGGGUGGUGGAAUUGGUAGACGCGCCGGACUCAAAAUCCGGUUCCGAAAGGAGUGGGGGUUCGAUUCCCCCCCCCGGCACCA